This 468-nucleotide ribosomal RNA is filed under the name uncultured bacterium. RNAcentral describes it as "partial 16S ribosomal RNA". It matches the Rfam family "Bacterial small subunit ribosomal RNA", at positions 28 to 507 of the family's 1533-position model. The record is from RNAcentral.
GACGAACGCUGGCGGCGUGCUUAACACAUGCAAGUCGAACGGAAAGGCCCUGCUUUUGUGGGGUGCUCGAGUGGCGAACGGGUGAGUAACACGUGAGUAACCUGCCCUUGACUUUGGGAUAACUUCAGGAAACUGGGGCUAAUACCGGAUAGGAGCUCCUGUUGCAUGGUGGGGGGUGGAAAGUUUCGGCGGUUGGGGAUGGACUCGCGGCUUAUCAGCUAGUUGGUUGGGUAGUGGCUUACCAAGGCUUUGACGGGUAGCCAGCCUGAGAGGGUGACCGGCCACCUUGGGACUGCGAUACGGCCCAGACUCCUACGGGAGGCAGCAGUGGGGAAUAUUGCACAAUGGGCGGAAGCCUGAUGCAGCAACGCCGCGUGCGGGAUGACGGCCUUCGGGUUGUAAACCGCUUUCGCCUGUGACGAAGCGUGAGUGACGGUAAUGGGUAAAGAAGCACCGGCUAACUACGUG